RNAcentral lists this ribosomal RNA (253 nucleotides) under uncultured bacterium. Its description in RNAcentral is "partial 16S ribosomal RNA". It matches the Rfam family "Bacterial small subunit ribosomal RNA", at positions 524 to 776 of the family's 1533-position model. The record is from RNAcentral.
UACAGAGGAUGCAAGCGUUAUCCGGAAUGAUUGGGCGUAAAGCGUCUGUAGGUGGCUUUUUAAGUCCGCCGUCAAAUCCCAGGGCUCAACUCUGGACAGGCGGUGGAAACUACCAAGCUGGAGUACGGUAGGGGCAGAGGGAAUUUCCGGUGGAGCGGUGAAAUGCGUAGAUAUCGUCUGGAACGCCAAAGGUGAAAACAGACUGCUGGGAGUGUGCUGACGCUGAGACACGAAAGCCAGGGGAGCAAACGGG